UAGGAAGCCUAUCAAUUCUGUUUCUCUAGA
This 30-nucleotide non-coding RNA is filed under the name Rattus norvegicus (Norway rat). The record is from RNAcentral. Lineage: Eukaryota; Metazoa; Chordata; Mammalia; Rodentia; Muridae.